GCAAGUCGAGGGGUAACAGGGAGAAGCUUGCUUUUCCGCUGACGACCGGCGCACGGGUGCGUAACGCGUAUAGAACCUACCUUUUACAGAGGGAUAGCCUUUAGAAAUGAAGAUUAAUACCUCAUAGUACUGAUGAUUGGCAUCAAUUAACAGUUAAAGUUUCGGCGGUAAAAGAUGGCUAUGCGUUCUAUUAGUUAGUUGGUAAGGUAACGGCUUACCAAGACAUCGAUAGAUAGGGGUCCUGAGAGGGAGAUC
This 255-nucleotide ribosomal RNA is filed under the name uncultured bacterium. RNAcentral's name for it is "partial 16S ribosomal RNA". It matches the Rfam family "Bacterial small subunit ribosomal RNA", at positions 57 to 305 of the family's 1533-position model. The record is from RNAcentral.